AGGGCUUCUUGAACUGUGAGUCUCCUCUUGAAUGUCUGGUCGACUUGAAGGCAGGAGGAGACUUCUUUAAAUGCUGGGAAGAGGUAGCUGGAUGGAGUUAAUGGCGCUCUUCCUUCUUUUCUGUUGAAAACCAGUUGGCAGAGAUAGGAUGCUUGAUUUCUUUGAGUGGAAUGGUGCUUCUCUGCCUUGCUACAGUCCUCUGUGGCUAUUUAAGCCAUCCCCCA
Molecule: long non-coding RNA, 224 nt
Filed under: Phoenix dactylifera (date palm)
Lineage: Eukaryota; Viridiplantae; Streptophyta; Magnoliopsida; Arecales; Arecaceae
Description: long non-coding RNA (PDAC_LNC008838)
Source: RNAcentral